RNAcentral lists this long non-coding RNA (423 nucleotides) under Prunus dulcis (almond). Its description in RNAcentral is "sRNA ncRNA". Lineage: Eukaryota; Viridiplantae; Streptophyta; Magnoliopsida; Rosales; Rosaceae. The record is from RNAcentral.
AUUCAUAAUUCAGCCAAAAAAGCCACUAGCCACAAAAGGCCAAUACAAACUAGCCACAAAAGGGCCAUUACAAUAACGGAGCGGUCUAAUAUCAAAAUUAAGAAAAUCAGGUAUGUCUCCACUAACGAUCAGGCAAGAUCGAAGAAACUCUGGCAUAGGCAUCCCAACUAAGAUUGCAAACUUAGAAUAAUAAAAAAGAGAUAAAGCUUGAAAAAACCAAGCCAUAACAAUACAAAUAAAACUCUCACCAAGGAGAGAUGAAAAGCUCUCACAAAGGAGAGAUGAAAAACUCUCACAAAAGGAGAGGUGAAAACUACACAGAGAACCCAAAGAGUCUCUGCAACUUAUUUCAAACAUAAAGAAAUUGCAAAAAAGAUGGUGGUGGAGAUCCGACGCCGAAAUGCAGGUGAAGAUCCGACGUUG